This 253-nucleotide ribosomal RNA is filed under the name uncultured bacterium. RNAcentral describes it as "partial 16S ribosomal RNA". It matches the Rfam family "Bacterial small subunit ribosomal RNA", at positions 524 to 776 of the family's 1533-position model. The record is from RNAcentral.
UACGAAGGGGGCUAGCGUUGCUCGGAAUCACUGGGCGUAAAGGGUGCGUAGGUGGGUUUUUAAGUCAGGGGUGAAAUCCUGGAGCUCAACUCCAGAACUGCCUUUGAUACUGAAGAUCUUGAGUCCGGGAGAGGUGAGUGGAACUGCGAGUGUAGAGGUGAAAUUCGUAGAUAUUCGCAAGAACACCAGUGGCGAAGGCGGCUCACUGGCCCGGUACUGACGCUGAGGUGCGAAAGCGUGGGGAGCAAACAGG